GCCUUCGUGGUGUAGUCAUCAGCACGCUCGACUCCUAUUCAAGAGGUCCCUGCUUCGAAUCUCGGCGAGGGCA
This 73-nucleotide transfer RNA is filed under the name Stegodyphus mimosarum. It matches the Rfam family "tRNA". From Rfam's summary of the family: Transfer RNA (tRNA) molecules are approximately 80 nucleotides in length. Their secondary structure includes four short double-helical elements and three loops (D, anti-codon, and T loops). The record is from Rfam by way of RNAcentral. Lineage: Eukaryota; Metazoa; Arthropoda; Arachnida; Araneae; Eresidae.